Molecule: ribosomal RNA, 497 nt
Filed under: uncultured bacterium
Lineage: Bacteria
Description: partial 16S ribosomal RNA
Rfam family: Bacterial small subunit ribosomal RNA
Source: RNAcentral
GACGAACGCUGGCGGCGUGCCUAAUACAUGCAAGUUGAGCGCUGAAGGUUGGUACUUGUACCAACUGGAUGAGCAGCGAACGGGUGAGUAACGCGUGGGGAAUCUGCCUUUGAGCGGGGGACAACAUUUGGAAACGAAUGCUAAUACCGCAUAAAAACUUUAAACACAAGUUUUAAGUUUGAAAGAUGCAAUUGCAUCACUCAAAGAUGAUCCCGCGUUGUAUUAGCUAGUUGGUGAGGUGAAGGCUCACCAAGGCGAUGAUACAUAGCCGACCUGAGAGGGUGAUCGGCCACAUUGGGACUGAGACACGGCCCAAACUCCUACGGGAGGCAGCAGUAGGGAAUCUUCGGCAAUGGACGAAAGUCUGACCGAGCAACGCCGCGUGAGUGAAGAAGGUUUUCGGAUCGUAAAACCCUGUUGGUAGAGAAGAACGUUGGUGAGAGUGGAAAGCUCAUCAAGUGACGGUAACUACCCAGAAAGGGACGGCUAACUACGUG